UUAAGCGACUAAGCGUACACGGUGGAUGCCCUGGCAGUCAGAGGCGAUGAAGGACGUGCUAAUCUGCGAUAAGCGUCGGUAAGGUGAUAUGAACCGUUAUAACCGGCGAUUUCCGAAUGGGGAAACCCAGUGUGUUUCGACACACUAUCAUUAACUGAAUCCAUAGGUUAAUGAGGCGAACCGGGGGAACUGAAACAUCUAAGUACCCCGAGGAAAAGAAAUCAACCGAGAUUCCCCCAGUAGCGGCGAGCGAACGGGGAGCAGCCCAGAGCCUGAAUCAGUGUGUGUGUUAGUGGAAGCGUCUGGAAAGGCGCGCGAUACAGGGUGACAGCCCCGUACACAAAAAUGCACAUGCUGUGAGCUCGAUGAGUAGGGCGGGACACGUGGUAUCCUGUCUGAAUAUGGGGGGACCAUCCUCCAAGGCUAAAUACUCCUGACUGACCGAUAGUGAACCAGUACCGUGAGGGAAAGGCGAAAAGAACCCCGGCGAGGGGAGUGAAAAAGAACCUGAAACCGUGUACGUACAAGCAGUGGGAGCACGCUUAGGCGUGUGACUGCGUACCUUUUGUAUAAUGGGUCAGCGACUUAUAUUUUGUAGCAAGGUUAACCGAAUAGGGGAGCCGAAGGGAAACCGAGUCUUAACUGGGCGUUAAGUUGCAGGGUAUAGACCCGAAACCCGGUGAUCUAGCCAUGGGCAGGUUGAAGGUUGGGUAACACUAACUGGAGGACCGAACCGACUAAUGUUGAAAAAUUAGCGGAUGACUUGUGGCUGGGGGUGAAAGGCCAAUCAAACCGGGAGAUAGCUGGUUCUCCCCGAAAGCUAUUUAGGUAGCGCCUCGUGAAUUCAUCUCCGGGGGUAGAGCACUGUUUCGGCAAGGGGGUCAUCCCGACUUACCAACCCGAUGCAAACUGCGAAUACCGGAGAAUGUUAUCACGGGAGACACACGGCGGGUGCUAACGUCCGUCGUGAAGAGGGAAACAACCCAGACCGCCAGCUAAGGUCCCAAAGUCAUGGUUAAGUGGGAAACGAUGUGGGAAGGCCCAGACAGCCAGGAUGUUGGCUUAGAAGCAGCCAUCAUUUAAAGAAAGCGUAAUAGCUCACUGGUCGAGUCGGCCUGCGCGGAAGAUGUAACGGGGCUAAACCAUGCACCGAAGCUGCGGCAGCGACGCUGAUGCGUUGUUGGGUAGGGGAGCGUUCUGUAAGCCUGCGAAGGUGUGCUGUGAGGCAUGCUGGAGGUAUCAGAAGUGCGAAUGCUGACAUAAGUAACGAUAAAGCGGGUGAAAAGCCCGCUCGCCGGAAGACCAAGGGUUCCUGUCCAACGUUAAUCGGGGCAGGGUGAGUCGACCCCUAAGGCGAGGCCGAAAGGCGUAGUCGAUGGGAAACAGGUUAAUAUUCCUGUACUUGGUGUUACUGCGAAGGGGGGACGGAGAAGGCUAUGUUGGCCGGGCGACGGUUGUCCCGGUUUAAGCGUGUAGGCUGGUUUUCCAGGCAAAUCCGGAAAAUCAAGGCUGAGGCGUGAUGACGAGGCACUACGGUGCUGAAGCAACAAAUGCCCUGCUUCCAGGAAAAGCCUCUAAGCAUCAGGUAACAUCAAAUCGUACCCCAAACCGACACAGGUGGUCAGGUAGAGAAUACCAAGGCGCUUGAGAGAACUCGGGUGAAGGAACUAGGCAAAAUGGUGCCGUAACUUCGGGAGAAGGCACGCUGAUAUGUAGGUGAAGUCCCUUGCGGAUGGAGCUGAAAUCAGUCGAAGAUACCAGCUGGCUGCAACUGUUUAUUAAAAACACAGCACUGUGCAAACACGAAAGUGGACGUAUACGGUGUGACGCCUGCCCGGUGCCGGAAGGUUAAUUGAUGGGGUUAGCGCAAGCGAAGCUCUUGAUCGAAGCCCCGGUAAACGGCGGCCGUAACUAUAACGGUCCUAAGGUAGCGAAAUUCCUUGUCGGGUAAGUUCCGACCUGCACGAAUGGCGUAAUGAUGGCCAGGCUGUCUCCACCCGAGACUCAGUGAAAUUGAACUCGCUGUGAAGAUGCAGUGUACCCGCGGCAAGACGGAAAGACCCCGUGAACCUUUACUAUAGCUUGACACUGAACAUUGAGCCUUGAUGUGUAGGAUAGGUGGGAGGCUUAGAAGUGUGGACGCCAGUCUGCAUGGAGCCGACCUUGAAAUACCACCCUUUAAUGUUUGAUGUUCUAACGUUGACCCGUAAUCCGGGUUGCGGACAGUGUCUGGUGGGUAGUUUGACUGGGGCGGUCUCCUCCUAAAGAGUAACGGAGGAGCACGAAGGUUGGCUAAUCCUGGUCGGACAUCAGGAGGUUAGUGCAAUGGCAUAAGCCAGCUUGACUGCGAGCGUGACGGCGCGAGCAGGUGCGAAAGCAGGUCAUAGUGAUCCGGUGGUUCUGAAUGGAAGGGCCAUCGCUCAACGGAUAAAAGGUACUCCGGGGAUAACAGGCUGAUACCGCCCAAGAGUUCAUAUCGACGGCGGUGUUUGGCACCUCGAUGUCGGCUCAUCACAUCCUGGGGCUGAAGUAGGUCCCAAGGGUAUGGCUGUUCGCCAUUUAAAGUGGUACGCGAGCUGGGUUUAGAACGUCGUGAGACAGUUCGGUCCCUAUCUGCCGUGGGCGCUGGAGAACUGAGGGGGGCUGCUCCUAGUACGAGAGGACCGGAGUGGACGCAUCACUGGUGUUCGGGUUGUCAUGCCAAUGGCACUGCCCGGUAGCUAAAUGCGGAAGAGAUAAGUGCUGAAAGCAUCUAAGCACGAAACUUGCCCCGAGAUGAGUUCUCCCUGACCCUUUAAGGGUCCUGAAGGAACGUUGAAGACGACGACGUUGAUAGGCCGGGUGUGUAAGCGCAGCGAUGCGUUGAGCUAACCGGUACUAAUGAACCGUGAGGCUUAACCUU
RNAcentral lists this ribosomal RNA (2902 nucleotides) under Escherichia coli KTE130. RNAcentral's name for it is "bacterial LSU rRNA". It matches the Rfam family "Bacterial large subunit ribosomal RNA". Lineage: Bacteria; Pseudomonadati; Pseudomonadota; Gammaproteobacteria; Enterobacterales; Enterobacteriaceae. RNAcentral also lists the same sequence under 1 other name. The record is from RNAcentral.